Molecule: microRNA precursor, 91 nt
Filed under: Xyrichtys novacula (pearly razorfish)
Lineage: Eukaryota; Metazoa; Chordata; Actinopteri; Labriformes; Labridae
Source: RNAcentral
AGUCCUGUAAUCCACUCCUGCUCUCCUCCUCCUCCUCUGUGUAGGAACUUGGCGUAGGAGGAGGAGAAGAGGAGGAGUGGAUUACAGGACU